GAUGAACGCUGGCGGCGUGCCUAAUACAUGCAAGUCGAGCGAACGGACGAGAAGCUUGCUUCUCUGAUGUUAGCGGCGGACGGGUGAGUAACACGUGGAUAACCUACCUAUAAGACUGGGAUAACUUCGGGAAACCGGAGCUAAUACCGGAUAAUAUUUUGAACCGCAUGGUUCAAAAGUAAAAGACGGUCUUGCUGUCACUUAUAGAUGGAUCCGCGCUGCAUUAGCUAGUUGGUAAGGUAACGGCUUACCAAGGCAACGAUGCAUAGCCGACCUGAGAGGGUGAUCGGCCACACUGGAACUGAGACACGGUCCAGACUCCUACGGGAGGCAGCAGUAGGGAAUCUUCCGCAAUGGGCGAAAGCCUGACGGAGCAACGCCGCGUGAGUGAUGAAGGUCUUCGGAUCGUAAAACUCUGUUAUUAGGGAAGAACAUAUGUGUAAGUAACUGUGCACAUCUGGACGGUACCUAAUCAGAAGGCCACGGCUAACUACGU
RNAcentral lists this ribosomal RNA (496 nucleotides) under uncultured bacterium. RNAcentral's name for it is "partial 16S ribosomal RNA". It matches the Rfam family "Bacterial small subunit ribosomal RNA", at positions 28 to 506 of the family's 1533-position model. The record is from RNAcentral.